CUGACCUGCAACACCUGACCCUUCUCUUCUUUAUUCAGAGGAAAACAGGCCAGCAAGCAUCUGCACCAGGAGGCCAGGCCUUCUGGAAAUGUGUUGGACAGCGAUGGGUCCACACUUCCGCCUUGGCUCCUGAAUGUGGCAUAGCCAACCCAUGAGAGAUGUCAGUUGACAAAGAGCAUGAGGAUCAGGCCAUGGCCUUGUGACACAGUGGAUGAACACCUGGCUGAAGAAACCCAGGAGAGAGAAGCACUGGACACUGGCUUCUGGGCUUAGCUGCUUGGACUCUGGCCAAGGUCUGGGGAUGUCCAGGACAAUCAGCUUUCUGCUUCUGUGCCCAUAAACUCGGGGUAUGGACUCAUUUCCAGUGCUGAGAAGUUCUGAAAUUGCAAAAGAUUCUUCCUAGCAAGUUCUCGACCUGUCUUCUAACUACCCUGCCAUGUGGCCCUCUCUGGGCCUCAGUUUCCCAUCUGUGAAUGAAAGCACUAGACUCGAAGGGUCCCUUCUGGCUCCUCUAACUCCAACCGAGAGGCACAGCUCAGGCUGAGCAGUUGCAUUUCCUCAUCACGGGGGACUGACAGGGAUCUUUUGCAAUGCUCAAUUCUAACAUCAAAAUUCCCCCAAAUAUUCCUUUUUUUUUCUUUUUUCGAGACAGAGUCUCACUCUUGUCGCCCAAGCUGGAGUGCAAUGGCACAAUCUCAGCUCACUGCAACCUUCCCCCCCGCCGGUUCAAGUGAUUCUCCUGCCUCAGCCUCCCGAAUAUCUGGGACUACAGGCGCACGCCACUAUGCCAGCUAAUUUUUUUGUAUUUUUAGUAGAGACAGGGUUUCAUCAUUUCGGCCAGGCUAGUCUCGAACUCCUGACCUCAGGUGAUCUGCCUGCCUCGGCCUCCCAAAGUGUUGGGAUUACAGGUGUGAGCCACCUCACCGGCCCCAAAUAUUUAUUUGAAGACAUUGAUUCAGGAUGCUUCUAGCCAUUAAAUUUGAUUUGCAAAUGAAUUUUUCUGGAUCACCUCACAGGCCCUGGGGAAUGGCCAGGGGUCUGGGUGGCCAUAUUUUCCGAAUAAAGCUCAAAA
This 1072-nucleotide long non-coding RNA is filed under the name Homo sapiens (human). RNAcentral describes it as "LHRI_LNC484.1". Lineage: Eukaryota; Metazoa; Chordata; Mammalia; Primates; Hominidae. The record is from RNAcentral.